Molecule: ribosomal RNA, 328 nt
Filed under: Actinomyces sp. M14/18
Lineage: Bacteria; Bacillati; Actinomycetota; Actinomycetes; Actinomycetales; Actinomycetaceae
Description: bacterial SSU rRNA
Rfam family: Bacterial small subunit ribosomal RNA
Source: RNAcentral
CUUUCGCUCAUGGUCAAGCCUCUUCUUUGGGAAGGGGUGAGGGUAGUGGGUAAAGAAGCGCCGGCUAACUACGUGCCAGCAGCCGCGGUAAUACGUAGGGCGCGAGCGUUGUCCGGAAUUAUUGGGCGUAAAGGGCUUGUAGGCGGUUGAUUGCGUCUGCCGUGAAAUCCUCUGGCUUAACUGGGGGCGUGCGGUGGGUACGGGUUGGCUUGAGUGCGGUAGGGGAGACUGGAAUUCCUGGUGUAGCGGUGGAAUGCGCAGAUAUCAGGAGGAACACCGGUGGCGAAGGCGGGUCUCUGGGCCGUUACUGACGCUGAGGAGCGAAAGC